UUCAGUUAUUGUGUUGUUUAAGUUAUUACUGAACAUUUUGUGGUGGCUUUGUUCGUUUUGAGAUAUUUUAAAGACAAAAGUAAAUCAACAAAAAAAUGGCACACACACACAUAUGCAGGCUCUGUGGUAAAAAGUUUGCUUCCCAACUACAUGGAUAACUAAAUUAAAACAGGUAUAAAAAUGGUGACUUACUUGACGGAUCCGGACCAAGGACAACAAAAGAAUUCCAAACAAGAAUCCAUUAUAUUGGAAAUGGAUGUCUGUGAGACAGAGAAUGAAGGAAAACAACAGCUGAGUGGAGAUGUUAUAUGACCAAAUGGACAGGGAGAAUAAAUAGAGAUAAAGCAUCCUGAAUAUUAACCUUAAAAAUGAGAUGUCACAUGCUUCGACUGCCCCUACUUUUGUGGAGCUCAAAUAAAAGGAUACG
This is a long non-coding RNA of Octopus bimaculoides (California two-spot octopus), 427 nucleotides long. RefSeq lists it as uncharacterized. The record is from RefSeq and is a predicted model, not a curated record. Lineage: Eukaryota; Metazoa; Mollusca; Cephalopoda; Octopoda; Octopodidae.